RNAcentral lists this ribosomal RNA (443 nucleotides) under uncultured bacterium. Its description in RNAcentral is "partial 16S ribosomal RNA". It matches the Rfam family "Bacterial small subunit ribosomal RNA", at positions 338 to 795 of the family's 1533-position model. The record is from RNAcentral.
CCUACGGGUGGCAGCAGUGGGGAAUAUUGCACAAUGGGCGAAAGCCUGAUGCAGCAACGCCGCGUGAAGGAAGAAGGGUUUCGGCUCGUAAACUUCUAUCAACAGGGACGAAAGAAAUGACGGUCCCUGAAUAAGAAGCCCCGGCUAACUACGUGCCAGCAGCCGCGGUAAUACGUAGGGGGCAAGCGUUAUCCGGAAUUACUGGGUGUAAAGGGUGAGUAGGCGGCAUGGUAAGCCAGAUGUGAAAGCCUUGGGCUUAACCCGAGGAUUGCAUUUGGAACUGUUUGUCUUGAGUACCGGAGAGGUCAUCGGAAUUCCUUGUGUAGCGGUGAAAUGCGUAGAUAUAAGGAAGAACACCAGUGGCGAAGGCGGAUGACUGGACGGCAACUGACGGUGAGGCGCGAAAGCGUGGGGAGCAAACAGGAUUAGAUACCCCUGUAGUC